Molecule: ribosomal RNA, 256 nt
Filed under: uncultured archaeon
Lineage: Archaea
Description: partial 16S ribosomal RNA
Rfam family: Archaeal small subunit ribosomal RNA
Source: RNAcentral
CAGCCGUAAACUAUGCUCGCUAGGUGUCAGGCAUGGCGCGACCGUGUCUGGUGCCGCAGGGAAGCCGUGAAGCGAGCCACCUGGGAAGUACGGCCGCAAGGCUGAAACUUAAAGGAUUGGCGGGGGAGCACAACAACGGGUGGAGCCUGCGGUUUAAUUGGACUCAACGCCGGGAAGCUCACCGGAUAAGACAGCGGAAUGAUUGCCGGGCUGAAGACUCUGCAUGACUAGCUGAGAGGAGGUGCAUGGCGUAGAC